Molecule: long non-coding RNA, 942 nt
Organism: Lethenteron reissneri (Far Eastern brook lamprey)
Lineage: Eukaryota; Metazoa; Chordata; Hyperoartia; Petromyzontiformes; Petromyzontidae
Source: RefSeq, a predicted model, not a curated record
GUGCCCACAGACACAGGUGUGUGUGUGUCCACGGCCGUGGUUCCGCUCGUGAUGCGAAGACUCCACGUCGUUUCGGAGUGGAGUCGGGCGGAAACAGAACGACGGUCCGGUCGCGGAUGAUGAUGAUGAAGACGACUACGAUACAUCUGCUGAUGAUCAUCAUGCUGCUGAUGAUGAUCGUCAUCGUCACGAUCGGCAUCAUGACCUGAUGACAAAUGAUAAUGAUGAAUACGAUGAUCAAUACUGAUAAUGUGCUUCGAGUUGACUAUAGAGUGGAGUUUGUGUCAGUGUGUCGUGCGCGUUAGCUUAUCAGACUGGUGUUUGCUGUGGCACGCGCCAUCCCUGAGCAACAACAGUCGAUAAGCUGGCACGCGCGGGGCCCCAUCGGACACGUGGCCACGCUCCGGAGCUCAGCCCCGGGCAGCUCCGGCUGAAAUAGCGGUUGGCAUUUAUUGAAUGAAUUAAAAACACAAAUCGAAGCCCCUCGUUGAAAAAUGACGGUGUUAGUUGCAGACGUCUGAGAUUGUAAUUCGUAAACUAUGACCCCCAUCUCAAGAUGAUUGUACACACAUUGAAACAAUACGUUAAGGUAGUGUGAAGUGGGCCCUCAUCCAGCAGUGCAUUGACAAAAGGGCUGUACGUGUACAGCGUUGCUUUAUUACUGUGGAUAUUACUUACACACACGCACACACGCACCCGCACGCGCGCGCAUUAUCUCGUCCCUCUGUCUAUGCGACCCGUUCAGCAAGCCGUCCCAUGCCCUCUGCCCUCCUCCGUCUUCGCAUUGUUACCACCACUAACAACAACUAAGUGGCGGCGACGUCACCACGGCGCUUGUGCCAGGCUAGGUACACCUUUUGUAACUACGGUGAACGCAAGCGCAUCUCGGUUACGUGUACGCAGAUAAUGUUGUGAUUAAAUACAUCGCACGCGUCAAGAGUA